ACCAUAAUCAGCUUAUCCAGGAAAGCACCCCGAUCUGUGACUCCAAUUUCCAGUUCACAAACAUCAGGGGCAGUUUGUUUGCAUUUGUGUGUUGGACCAACACAACAAUACAAACAAAAAGAUUUUGAAGAGUUAAAGUUCAGCAAUUGUAUGUAUUCUUCAUAAUUACCAUCUUAUCUUAUUGAGACAUUUGACAUCUUUCAGAUUAUCAUUUGCAAAAUCUGCGGCCUGUGGUGGCAAGCAAACUAGUAAUAACAUAUCAUAAAGUUUUACAAGAGCAUUCAGUGUUCAUUAUUUUAUUUUGGAAUGCUCUGUUUUAUUCCCCAAAUGUUAACUUCUCUCUUAAGAACAGAGAACUGAAUUUAUAUUUAAAACAGCGAGGAAAACAGAGAAAAGAAAAGAAAAAACUUUAAAUAAAUUAAUUAAAAAAAAAAAAAACACAGACACACACAAUCUAAAGAUUUAAAGGUUUAUACCCCAUGAGUUGAAGCAAACCACAGCAUUACGUCAUGGGUUGUAGAGAGAGCUCGAGGCAUGGAAGAUGGCAAGAGCUGGGUUGAAAGGGGUGAAUAGCAGUUGAGGAGAGUCAGAAUGGAAGGGGGUGGUUAAAGUAGUUGAUAUGCAGCAACGCAGUCGUUUGAGAUAUGUGAAGAGGAUUGGGGAUUUUAGUUCUCGUUCCUGUCACAA
Long non-coding RNA from Juglans microcarpa x Juglans regia, 687 nucleotides. RefSeq lists it as uncharacterized. The transcript is spliced from 3 exons. Lineage: Eukaryota; Viridiplantae; Streptophyta; Magnoliopsida; Fagales; Juglandaceae. The record is from RefSeq and is a predicted model, not a curated record.